GACGAACGCUGGCGGCGUGCUUAACACAUGCAAGUCGAACGGAAAGGCCCUGCUUUUGUGGGGUGCUCGAGUGGCGAACGGGUGAGUAACACGUGAGUAACCUGCCCUUGACUUUGGGAUAACUUCAGGAAACUGGGGCUAAUACUGGAUAGGAGCUCCUGCUGCAUGGUGGGGGUUGGAAAGUUUCGGCGGUUGGGGAUGGACUCACGGCUUAUCAGCUUGUUGGUGGGGUAGUGGCUUACCAAGGCUUUGACGGGUAGCCGGCCUGAGAGGGUGACCGGCCACAUUGGGACUGAGAUACGGCCCAGACUCCUACGGGAGGCAGCAGUGGGGAAUAUUGCACAAUGGGCGGAAGCCUGAUGCAGCAACGCCGCGUGCGGGAUGACGGCCUUCGGGUUGUAAACCGCUUUCGCCUGUGACGAAGCGUGAGUGACGGUAAUGGGUAAAGAAGCACCGGCUAACUACGUG
RNAcentral lists this ribosomal RNA (468 nucleotides) under uncultured bacterium. RNAcentral describes it as "partial 16S ribosomal RNA". It matches the Rfam family "Bacterial small subunit ribosomal RNA", at positions 28 to 507 of the family's 1533-position model. The record is from RNAcentral.